This is a small nuclear RNA of Panthera leo (lion), 154 nucleotides long. Its record names the gene U2. It matches the Rfam family "U2 spliceosomal RNA". From Rfam's summary of the family: U2 is a small nuclear RNA (snRNA) component of the spliceosome (involved in pre-mRNA splicing). The record is from Ensembl. Lineage: Eukaryota; Metazoa; Chordata; Mammalia; Carnivora; Felidae.
AUCGCUUCUCGGCCUUUUGGCUAAGAUCAAGUGUAGUUUAGAUGUUAAGUGGGAGGUAGUUUUAGAGAAUGGACUCAAGCCAGUUGCUUUAGCUAAACUGUGGUCCUCUUUGCCCAUGGUGAAUAAGGAUUGCAAUGCUUAGUAGGAAAUCUCA